GAUGAACGCUGACAGAAUGCUUAACACAUGCAAGUCAACUUGAACUUCGGUUUGGGUGGCGGACGGGUGAGUAACGCGUAAAGAACUUGCCUCACAGAUAGGGACAACAUUUGGAAACGAAUGCUAAUACCUGAUAUUAUGAUUAUAUGGCAUCGUAUAAUUAUGAAAGCUAUAUGCGCUGUGAGAGAGCUUUGCGUCCCAUUAGCUAGUUGGAGAGGUAACGGCUCACCAAGGCGAUGAUGGGUAGCCGGCCUGAGAGGGCGAUCGGCCACAAGGGGACUGAGACACGGCCCUUACUCCUACGGGAGGCAGCAGUGGGGAAUAUUGGACAAUGGACCAAGAGUCUGAUCCAGCAAUUCUGUGUGCACGAUGAAGUUUUUCGGAAUGUAAAGUGCUUUCAGUUGGGAAGAAAAAAAUGACGGUACCAACAGAAGAAGUGACGGCUAAAUACGUG
Molecule: ribosomal RNA, 454 nt
Filed under: uncultured bacterium
Lineage: Bacteria
Description: partial 16S ribosomal RNA
Rfam family: Bacterial small subunit ribosomal RNA
Source: RNAcentral